Long non-coding RNA from Bombyx mori (domestic silkworm), 805 nucleotides. RefSeq lists it as uncharacterized. The record is from RefSeq and is a predicted model, not a curated record. The transcript is spliced from 4 exons. NCBI's taxonomy places the organism in Eukaryota, Metazoa, Arthropoda, Insecta, Lepidoptera, Bombycidae.
UAAACCACAGCAUAUAAUGUAGCUAUAUAAUAACAAAAUGCCCACAGAAGAUCAUAGAUCUACAGGAUUAGAAUUUUUGGGAAGUCGACGCAUUGCUUUUAUAUUCUUUUGCUGCACGCAACAUAACACUGUUCGUUUUUAAAAUUGAGAAAUUGUUUGCGAGCAAUCCCAGCUUUGUAUGGAGCAAGCCGUUCAGGGUUUCAUUAGAAAGCCCGUUUUGUCAGUUUUUACAUUUUUGAGAACACUGAAUAGUCUUUCCACCUCAGUCUUUGAAGAAGAUGCUGCUAGUAAAACUGAAAUGACAACUUCAAGGUUUUGGUAAAUGAAAUUACCAUGAUAAUUUUUCAUGGUACAUGAAGUACCUAUAGCGUGUGAUGCGUGCGAUGAUACCACUGAGAAAAACAAUGCACCCAUCAUUUUUAGAUGAGUCUUCUAAAGGUAUUUCGAACGUUACCAGUUACUACAGUAGGUGGUAGGACCUCUUGUGAGUCCACGCGGCAUGGUUUUGUUGUACUAUUGGCGUUACUGGUGUCCGGUCCUCCAAAAUAACAAGAAAACCAAAGGAAUAAGAUCUGAAAUCGAGUGCUCAGCUGAUCUGUAUUCCGGCGUCUAAAUUGAGAGUCUGUGGUCGGUGUCCGCACUCACGUGUGCCGAGCGGGGGGCGGGGGCGGCGCUCUCAGUCGUCGCGCUGCACGUGGCGGCGCUGCAGGGCGAGCGCGAGGUCGUGCUGCAGCGCGGCGGUGCGGCGCGCCACGUCCGCCGGGAUCACUGACCUCAGCCCGCUCACUAUAUCUUUUGUUUUACC